Long non-coding RNA from Triticum aestivum (bread wheat), 2992 nucleotides. RefSeq lists it as uncharacterized. The transcript has 3 exons. The record is from RefSeq and is a predicted model, not a curated record. NCBI's taxonomy places the organism in Eukaryota, Viridiplantae, Streptophyta, Magnoliopsida, Poales, Poaceae.
CAGAACGGAAACAGCCAUGGCCUCCAUCUCUUCCUCCCCUCCUCCCACUUAAUUUAUUUGCAUGUUCACACCGGAGUCAACACGAAAACUGUGGAGGGCGUUAGAAGUAACCCAUUCAGGGAAUUAGAACCCAACAUUAUUGCUUUAAUUGGACGAACCGAUCCAUGAAACGUACAGCCAUUAAUGACCGCACUAAGCUCGCUGUGGAUCUCCUCGUAUGGACUUCCCUCGCACCUAUAAAGAGCACCCCGAGGAUCUCCUCCUAGUACCCAUAUUCCUCCCGAAGAAUCCCUCUCCAUCUCCCUCCCCAUCUCAUGGAAUCUCUCGCCGGAGUUUACCCUCUGCCACCACUUCAGACGAAGCUAGCAACGCCUCCGCCGGAACACACCGUCCGGGAGUACGCAACCAAACGGAGUUCAGCGCAACUCCGGCGGCCCUCCACCACCACCACCGGAUGAGUUCGAGCCCGAGGCCUUGACUUCCUGACUCACCGCGCCGUCCCCUGCCCCGUCCGCCUUGCUCCUUCACCUGGAACCGCUGUGUCGUCGAGACCAUCGACAUCCGAGCCAUGCUGCCGUCUCCGGCGACCGGACCAUCUCUCCUCGAUUGCGACGAGUGUGAAGGUGAAUUCUACGAGGAGGUAGAACCGUGUGACUACGAAACCGAAGGCAAGUUGCAACUUGAUCAUUCCUUGUCCUAUGUGUUUGUAAUAUGCAUGAUCUCUUUAAAAUUUACUAGUAUGCAUGUUUUACUGAAAAGUUUUGCAAACAACUAUUGCUAGUUAAAGCUCUAGGUACUUGUAGCUAUGCUUAGCCAUGCUUGCAAAUAAAAGGGUUGGGAAUCAAACAAGUUUACAUGUUUAAACUUGUCUUCUUUUGGGGCAAUGAUUUAUGAUAACUUUUGGAAAAUAAAAAACUAUAUAUUAUUUUACUUCUACUCCCUGGGCGGAAUGGUAUUGAUGGGAGCGUCUACAAGUGAUUGCGUCCAUCGGGGUCUUGUAGUGAAUGCGUCUGACUGGGGUCUUGCACACAGGUUUUUGGUGGGGACCAUCGUUCAGGGGAAUGAGAUCUUCCAAGUACAGUUUGAUGUAGCUCCUAGUAUAGCCACAUGCUACUAUGGGCUCUGGCUUAGUUUAGUACUAACAGGAAACCCUUACCUCAGGACUGCCAUCGGAGAGAGGCUUUCAUUGCCUAAGUUGCGGGCGGCUUGGUCAGGUAUAGGGGGCUAUUACGGAAAGGCUUCGUCACAAUCUUCUUUUAGUCGUACACUCAAGUGGGGGUUGGUUGUGUUGGUUGUGUCAUGUGGGGAAUGCGUACGACCUCUGCAGAGGGUUUAACCUAAUCGAUUAGUCGUGCCCCCGGUUACGGGCAAUUUUGAGCAACUAAAGACUUGGACUGAAGAAGAAUCUCCCCUCUUUUUUCUAAAAGUCUGUUUUAAGGGCUAAAGUUGAGGGAUGAGCAUAGUGAAUGUGUUUCACUUCAAUUUUAUGUAUGUUUUAAACUAAUUUGGAGAAUGAACACUGGUGCGUAUAUCCAAGUGUCUCACUCCUACCUUUUAAACUAAAACUAUUUUUUAUUUCAUUUUUAUUUCAAAAGAAGUUUACAAAAUUUAGUAUAGGUGAAAAUUGGCUUUAUGCAAAGGAAACCUUCACCAAUACUUACCUUGCAUAUAUAGUCUGUUAAAAUUUUCUUGGGACAUUUACAUCUAUGCCCUUAACUCAAACCCACUACUCAGUUUUGCCCCUAAUUUUUAGGUAUGCUCAGUUUUGCCCCUAAUUUUUAGGUAUGCUCAGUUUUGCCCCUCCGCCGUUAGUUUAACUUAUAGAAAUGACCUUUUGUGUCGUUACCGUUCGGUCAAAGGGCUUUGACCAUCCUGAAAAAAUAGCAAAACAAUUCAAAAAAAUUAGAACUUUGUGGGAUCGAAGAUACUCAUGUGAACAGUAAAUUAAAAAAAUAGAGAAAAAAUCGAAAAAAAUAUGAAAUUUUGUGGGACUGAAGAUACUGCAGUUGUGCAAGAUGUGUGCACAUUUUUGUUGUGUUUGGAAAUUGUAGGAGCUCAUGGAGGAAAAAAACAAAAUUUAGCUCAAAAAAACUUUGAAAAAAUGCACUAUUUUGUUUUUUUUCUCUAGAGCGCCUCGUACGUCAUUUGAUCACCAAAAAUGGCAAGCACCUUGUGCACUCAAACCUCUUUGAAGCCAAAAAAAUAAACUUUUUUGAAUUUUUUUGCUAUUUUUUCAAAUUUACUGUUCAGGGGCAUAAAUUAUUUUUGCUUUCCUUUGCCACGAGUCCAACCAACACCAAAAUUUGCACGCACCUUGCGAACAUGACUAUCUUUGAUCCCACAAAUUUUCAAUUUUUUUGAUUUUUUUGCUAUUUUUUUAUGGAUGGUCAAAGUCCUUUGACCAAACGGUAACGGCGCAAAAGGGAAUUCCUAUAAGUGACACUAACAACGGAGGGGCAAAACCGAGCAUACCUAAAAAUUAGGGGCAAAACUGAGUGGUGGGUUCGAGUUAGGGGCACAACUGGAAUUGGCCCAAUUUUCUUUGUAACUUGUGAGUAUAUUCCACGUACUCAUCUGCAUCUGUCAUGUGUAGAUCUUGAUAGAGUAAGAGACGAUAGGGUUAUGGUCUACACUCAACGAGCCUAGUGACGUUGAUGGAUCCCUAACUAAGUGACUACGUAUAAUUCCGCUGUAUUAUGUGCCAUCAUUGAGCUGUGCCAAUGGUAUGUAUUUGCUUAAUUCUGGAUCUACCGUUGUCGUAAAAUGAUGUAUGUUUUACUGAUAUUCAUUUUUGUUACUGUGUGUGUUAACUACGAUCCAGGAUAGCACAGUAAGCACAGAGACUUGGAUUUUACCAAAUUCGGGUAGUAACAGUUCAGGGGUAUCACGGGCAUUUCGCGUGUCGGGAUUUCACAGGAGGUGGGAAUUUUCGCGCGCGUUGUAAUUUUGGGAUAGUAAGGAGCGGGUUGAGAUGGAGGAAGUUUUCGGAGCA